RNAcentral lists this ribosomal RNA (274 nucleotides) under uncultured bacterium. RNAcentral describes it as "partial 16S ribosomal RNA". It matches the Rfam family "Bacterial small subunit ribosomal RNA", at positions 523 to 796 of the family's 1533-position model. The record is from RNAcentral.
AUACGAAGGGGGCAAGCGUUGUUCGGAAUAACUGGGCGUAAAGCGCGCGUAGGCGGAAUGUUAAGUUAGAGGUGAAAUCCCAGGGCUCAACCCUGGAACGGCCUUUAAUACUGGCAAUCUAGAGACCGAGAGAGGUGAGUGGAAUUCCGAGUGUAGAGGUGAAAUUCGUAGAUAUUCGGAGGAACACCAGUGGCGAAGGCGGCUCACUGGCUCGGUACUGACGCUGAGGUGCGAAAGCGUGGGGAGCAAACAGGAUUAGAUACCCUAGUAGUCC